This is an RNA transcript of Anguilla rostrata (American eel), 9747 nucleotides long. It is a transcript of the gene named zinc finger protein 660-like, with no coding region annotated. The record is from RefSeq and is a predicted model, not a curated record. Lineage: Eukaryota; Metazoa; Chordata; Actinopteri; Anguilliformes; Anguillidae. The transcript has 9 exons.
UGCGGAAACAUGGUCUUCAGUACGGGCAGUUUCAGCUUCACCCUAUGGCUGCACAUGGACACCUGAAGCUAAGCUUCUAGCCUCUCGCCUAGCAAAGCCGGCCACGGGCCCUGAUUUGUAGUUACAUUCUUCAUCUAAGUAGCUACACAAACAUAAUUGCUGUUUUAUUAAGGCAUUGAAGUGGUGAAGUAAAAUCGCUUGAUAAAAUGACGAAUUAUGCUCAUUUUCAAACACAGAUAACCUCCAUUAUGGAAAUCAUGACAAAGUCAGCGAUAGCAGAAAUUACCAGACUUUUUGACGACAGUUCCUCAAUUUUGUGUUUGAAAAUAUCUAGGAGUUUACAUGAGAAUCAAGCGCUGAAAAGGAAACUACAGUUGUUGCAGCAUGAGCUGAGCACGGCGCGAAAACGGAACGAGGGAAUAGCAGGAGCGCGUGAGAGUCCUGUCAACUCUCGAUCUGUUGGAGUUCAAGUUUCCGAGAGAAUAGUGGAAGAGCCAGGCAGAGAGAGAAUCUUUGGGCAGGAGCGGAGCUUCAGUCUGAGGAGAGAUGGAGAACCUGCAGGUGUGGAACAGUCUGCAAACAUGGAGAAGGUCAGACCUGAACCAGUUCUUAUCAAGGAGGAGAGACUGGAAGAGGACUUGUGUUACAGAGAUCACAAACCAGCAACAAAGGAACAGGUAACACAGCCCACACCUGCAACAGAGGAACAGGUAACACAGCCCACACCUGUAGAAGAUGGGAAGAAACUGGACACAGAGCUCACACCUGCAGGAGACCCAGAGGAGCUGAGUGAGCAGCACAGGUGUGAACACGGUGAUGAGGAGCUCAGUGGACUGGAGUUUGUGGUGAAGGCAGAGCAAGAGGAAGAGCAUGUAGUCCAGAGACUCAAUCAGACAGGGUGUGAACACAGUGCAGGAAGACUCAACAAUCUGGGCUCUGAGUAUGUAAUGUAUGAGAGAGACAGUCAGCUGUGGACUUCCUUUACACAAGAGGACAGUGACCUAGAGACUGAUGAUCCAGUUUGUUCUAAGGCUACAGAAAAGUUCUCACAGAAUCGGCCAAUUUACAGACAACUACAACAUGCUCCUGCCAUCAUGGAAGUCUCUGGAAACACACUAUCCUCUUUUGGGCCUUCACGUGUUGAGGAGUUGGAUAAGAUGCGUGCAAAGCCAUCUGUUUACAGUGAGAAGCUCAGAUCAGAGGCCAUUCACACACAGCAGGGUCAGUACAGAGAGAGACUUGUGCACACAGUGGAGAGAGAGAAUCAGACAUUACUGCCCCAGCAGCAGCGACAUGGACCCUCAGUAAAACACAUGAGAGGCAGCGAGACCCCAGCCCAGCUACACUCAGGCUCUCAGUAUGAGACCGGCUCUACUCUGAGUACCAGUGCUUUUAGUGCUGGGAAGAAGGGCAAGACUGAUGGACGAGCUGCUUUUAGAAAGAAACCAUUCAUUUGCAUAUAUUGCGGAAAGAGUUUUGAUUGCUGUAGUCGUCUCAUCUCACAUCACCGAAUUCACACCGGGGAGAAACCGUUCAGCUGUACACAGUGCGGAAGGUGUUUUAAUCGCAAAAGCAAUCUUGUACAACAUGAGAGGAUUCACAGCGGAUUUAAACCAUUCGGUUGCACGCUGUGUGGAAAGAGAUUUGCUCGGGGUCCUGAUCUCAGAGCACACCACAGAAGUCAUACUGGAGAGAGACCGUAUCACUGCACCCAGUGUGGGAAGAGUUUUGCUCGCCAGUGCAGUCUUGUUGUUCACCAGAGGAUUCACUCAAGAGUGAAACCGUACAGCUGUAUCUAGCCUCAGACUGCAUCUUUAAAUUUAAAGACCAGUUGAACUCAUCCGAUUUCACUUUUGAAAUAAAUCCUUUUGACUGAAAUGGUGUUCAUGAACAAUUUGGUAUUAGCUCUUUGUGGUAAAGUUUGUUAGAAAGGAAAUGUGCUUACAAAAUUCUUGAAGACAUCCAAGUAUCAUUGUUACCCUUUAGAUGGCUUUAAUAAAAUGAAACCGUUUUAAUUGAAAGUGUAGUUUUGGCUUCUUUUUUAUUUUAGCCUAACAUCUGCACACUCCUAUCCAAAAGAAACAACGCACCAAAGGCGGAAUCCACCGUAAUCCUGUCAUAUUUACAACCCUGUUGCUAUACUGUAGUUUUGGCUUACAUUGAAUUGCCCAAUUAAAUGAUUAACACAAAUGGUACGCACGCCGCAGUACGCCAUGGGUUCUAUCAAAUUGAUUUGCAAUUUUUCACUGAAUAUUUGCGGUUCAUUAUUACGUCAUCAACCUGUGGAAAUAUGGUCUUUGCCACAGACAGUUCAAGCUAAUAUACAUUUAAAUUUAAAUAUCAGUCAGGCAGAAAUGAGGAGUUUGAUUUAAACUGAACUAAGGUAUGGCAAAAAGAGGUAGGCAGGAGGGUGUAGAAGAGAGGAGAUGAUCAUAUAUCCAGGAUGAGAUUUGGACAUACGGGAGUACACUGUGCACAUCAUCUAAUGAAUGGACACAAUUGCACGACUUGCGAUUACCGCCUUCAAGAAGAGACUAUUGAGCGUGUUACAUCAUUUUGCCCUAAUUAUAAUUUACAGAAGGAAAUGUUGAUGAACCUGAGCAAUACGACGGUUAUGUUUUAAGAGAUAACUGUCGCAAAGGAAUUCAGGGCACAAAUGUUAUUCUUUUAUAUUUCCGUAUGUAAGAAACAAAGGGUUAAUAAACAGGAUAUCAUUUUUUGUUGUUCGUUUGUUUGUUUUUUGAGAAAGACUGAUAGCGUCCCGAUCCACACUCCUAUCCAGUCGGUGGCGGUAAUUGUCCUCAAUGUUGCUUGCCAACUGCCAUGAACCCCCAAGUAGAAGAAGACGAAGAAGAAGACCGUAUUAGCUUCACCUACAGCUAAGCUAGCGUUUCGCCUAGCAAAGCCAGUGACAGCUCCUAAUUGAUAGUUACAUUCUUCUUCUAGGUCGCUACAAAAAAAUAAAUAAAUGCUGUUUUAUUAAAGCAUUGAAGUGGUGAAGUAAAAUCUUUUGGUAAAAUGACGAAUUAUGCUCAUUUUCAAACACAGAUAACCACCAUUAUGGAAAUCAUGACAAAGUCAGCGAUAGCAGAAAUCAUCAAACUUUUUGACGACAGUUCCUCAGUUUUGUGUUUGAAAAUAUCUAGGAGUUUACACGAGAAUCGAGCGCUGAAAAGGAAACUACAGUCGAUGCAGCAUGAGCUGAGGACGGCGCGAAGGCAGAAAGAGGGAAUAGCAGGAGCGCCUGAGGGUCCUGUCAACACUCGAUCUGUUGGAGUUCAAGUUCUCGAGAAUAGUGUGGAAGAGCCACGCAGAGGGAGAAUCUUUGGGCUGGAGGGGAACUUCAGUCUGAGGAGAGAUGGAGAACCUGCAGGUGUGGAACAGUCAGCAAGCAUGGAGAAGGUCAGACCUGAGCCAGUUCUUAUCAAGGAGGAGAGACUGGAAGAGGACUUGUGUUACAGAGAUCACAAACCAGCAGCAAAGGAACAGGUAACACAGCCCACACUUGCAACAGAGGAACAGGUAACACAGGCCACACCUGUAGAAGAUGGGAAGAAACUGGACACAGAGCCCACACCUGCAGGAGACCCAGAGGAGCUGAGUGAGCAGCACAGGUGUGAACACGGUGAUGAGGAGCUCAGUGGACUGGAGUUUGUGGUGAAGGCAGAGCAAGAGGAACAGCAUGUAGCCCAGAGACUCAAUCAGACAGGAUGUGAACACAGUGCAGGAAGACUCAACAAUCUGGGCUCUGAGUGUGUAAUGUAUGAGAGAGACAGUCAGCUGUGGACUUCCUUAGCACAAGGGGACAGUGACAUAGAGCCUGAUGAUCCAGUUUGUUUUAUUGCUACUGAACAGUGCUCAGAGAAUUUGUCAAUUCACACACAGCUCCAACAGACUCCUGCCACCAUGGAAGUUUCUGGAAACACACUGUCCUCUUUUGGGGAUUCGUAUGUUGAGGAGUUUGAUAAGAUGAGUGAGAAGCCGCCUGUUUGCAGUGAGGAGCUCCGAUCAGAGGCCAUUCACACACAGCAGGGUCAGUACAGAGAGAGACUUGUGCACACAGUGGAGAGAGAGAAUCAGACAUUACUGCCCCAGCAGCAGCAACAUGGACCCUCAGUAAAACACAUGAGAGGCAGCGAGAGCCCAGCCCAGCCACACUCAGGCUCUCAGUAUGAGACCGGCUCUACUCUGAGUACCAGUGCUUUCAGUGCUGGGAGGAAGGAUGCGACUCAUGGACAACCUGACUUUGGAAAGAAACCGUUCAUUUGCAUAUAUUGUGGGAAGAGUUUUAAUUGCUGUAGUCAUCUCAUCUCACAUCACCGAAUUCACACAGGGGAGAAACCAUACAGUUGUGCACAGUGUGGGAAGCGUUUCAGUCACAAAGGUAAUCUUGUACAACAUGAGCGGGUUCACAGUGGGAAUAAACCAUUCGGUUGCACACUGUGUGGAAAGAGGUUUGCUCGUGGACCUGAUCUUAGAGCACACCACAGAAUUCAUACAGGAGAGAAACCGUAUCACUGCACGUACUGUGGGAAGAGUUUUGCUCGCCAGUGUAAUCUUGUUGUGCACCAGAGGAUUCACACAAGAGUGAAACUAUACAGCUGUAUCUAGCGUCCGACUACUUUUUAAAAAGUCAUAGACCUUUUAAACUGAACAGAUUUCACUGGUGAAACUAACCGCUUUGAUUAGAAUGAUAGGCAUUAAUAAGCUUUGUAUUAGCUUUGUGUUACAGUUUGAGUUAUAAAAAACUGUGCUGACAAAAUUCACGAAGACACAUGAUAACACAUCAAGCAUCAAUGUUGUCUUUCAUAUGGCUUUAAUAAAAUGAAACCGUUUUAAUUAGAAGUGUAGUUUUGGCUUCUUUUUUUUUUAGCCGAAAAUCUGCACCACCUCAUCCAGAAGAAACAAGGCACCAAAGGCGGAAUCCACCGUAACCCUGUCAUACUUGCAACCCUGUCACUAUGCUGUAGCUUUGACUCGCAUUGGAUUGCACAAUUAAAUGCAUUAACACAAAUAGUGCGCACGCCGCAGUGAACAAUGUUUUCUUUCAAAUAUUUUUGCAAUUUUUACUGAGUAUUUACGGUAAAUUAUUACGUCAUCAACUUGCGGAAACAUGGUCUUCACCACAAACAAUUUUAUCUUAAACUAGAUUCCUAAAGCCAAGCUUCUAGCGUCUCGCAUAGCAAAGCCAGCCACGGGCACUGAUUGGUAGUUACAUUCUUCAUCUAGGUAGUAACAUAAACAUAAUUGCUGUUUUAUUAAGACACUGAAGUGGUGAAGUAAAAUCGUUUGGCAAAAUGACGAAUUAUGCUCAUUUUCAAAGACAGAUUACCACCAUUAUGGAAAUCAUGACAAAGUCAGCGAUAGAAGAAAUUACUAAACUUUUUGACGACAGUUCCUCAGUUUUGUGUUUUAAAAUAUCUAGGAGUUUAAACGAGAAUGAGGCGCUGAAAAAGAAACUACAGUUGUUGCAGCAUGAGCUGAGGUCGGCGCGUGGACAGAAAGAGGAAAUAAAAUCAGCGCGUGAGAGCCCUGUCAACACUCGAUCUGUUGGAGUUCAAGUUUUCGAGAGUAAUUUGGACAAGCAGUACAGAGAGGGAAUCGUUGGGCAGGAGUGGAGCUUCUGUCUAAGGAGAGAUGGAGAACCUGCAGGUGUGGAACAGUCUGGAGACAUGGAGAAGGUCAGGCCUGAACCAGUUCUUAUCAAGCAGGAGAGACUGGAAGAGGUCUUGUGUUUCAGUGACCCACAGCACACACCUGGAGGAGAGGAACAGGUAACACAGCCCACACCUGCAACAGAGGAACAGGUAACACAGCCCACACCUGUAGAAGAUGGGAAGAAACUGGACCCAGAGCCCACACCUGCAGGAGACCCAGAGGAGCUGAGUGAGCAGCACAGGUGUGAACACGGUGAUGAGGAGCUCAGUGGACUGGAGUUUGUGGUGAAGGCUGAGCAAGAGGAAGAGCAUGUAGCCCAGAGACUCAAUCAGACAGGAUGUGAACACAGUGCAGGAAGGCUCAACAAUCUGGGCUCUGAGUGUGUAAUGUAUGAGAGAGACAGUCAGCUGUGGAGUUCCUUUACACAAGAGGACAGUGACAUAGAGACUGAUGAUCCAGUUUGUUCUAAGGCUACAGAAAAGUUCUCACAGAAUCUGUCUAUUCACACACAGCUACAACAUACUCCUGCCACCAUAGAAGUCUCUGGAAACACACUGUCCUCUUUUGGGCCUUCAUAUGUUGAGGAGUUUGAUAAGAUGAGUGAGAAGCCGUCUGUUUGCAGUGAGGAGCUCAGAUCAGAGGCCAUUCACACACAGCAGGGUCAGUACAGAGAGAGACUUGUGCACACAGUGGAGAGAGAGAAUCAGACAUUACUGCCCCAGCAGCAGCAACAUGGACCCUCAGUAAAACACAUGAGAGGCAGCGAGAGCCCAGCCCAGCCACACUCAGGCUCUCAGUGUGAGACCGGCUCUACUCUGAGUACCAGUGUUUUCAGUGCUGGGAAUAAGGAUGAGACUCAUGGACAAGAUAACUGUGCAAAGAAACCGUUCAUUUGCAUGUAUUGUGGGAAGAGUUUUAAUUGCUGUAGUCAUCUCAUCUCACAUCACCGAAUUCACACGGGGGAGAGACCAUACAGUUGUGCACAGUGCGGGAAGUGUUUCAGUCUCAAAGGUAAUCUUGUACAACAUGAGAGGGUUCAUAGUGGGAAUAAACCAUUUGGUUGUGCUCAGUGUGGGAAGAGAUUUGCUCGCGGAGCAAACCUUAGAGCACACCAGAGGAGUCAUACAGGAGAGAGACCAUAUCACUGCACCCAGUGUGGGAAGAGAUUCACUCGCCAGUGCAAUCUUCUCGUGCACCAGAGGAUUCACACAAGAGUGAAACCAUACAGCUGUAUCUAGUGCCAGACUACUUUUUUUUUAAUGCCAUUUAAUCCUAUUUUCUCCCCAAUUUAGUCGUUAUACCAAUUCCCCAUCUGUAUCACAGUCCUUAUCAAUGCGCUGUCUUUCUGUUGGUCUGGGGAGGGUGUAGACUACCACAUGCCAGCCUCCGAUACAUGUGGAGUUGCCAGCCGCUUCUUUUCACCUACCAGCAAGGAGUUUCACUGGGAGAGUGUGAUGCGUGCGGAGGUUCAUGCUUUCUCCCCCAGGCCAACCAGUAGGAGUCGCUAAUGCAACGAUCAGGACUCUCACCCUCACGGGCUUCCCACCCGCAAACACUGCCAACUGUGUUCGUAGGAACGUCUGACCAAGCCGGAAGUACCGCUGCCAGGGAUUGAACUCGGUGGUAGGCGAGUGCUUUUACCUCUACCCAGACUACUUUUUUAAAAUUUAAAGACCCUUCUAACUCAUCAGAUUUCACUGGUGAAAUAAACCGCUUUGAUUGAAGUGGUAUUGAUUAACAAUCUGUGUAUUAGGUCUUUGUGUUAAAGUUUGAGUUGAGGAAAGACAUUUUGCUCACAAAAUUCGACAAAGAUUUGACACGUGACAAUACAACUUGCAUCAGUGCUUCCAUUCGUGUGGGUUUCAUGACAUUAAAAUGUUUUAAAUAAAAGUGAAGUUUUGGCUUUUUAAAAAAGAAUUUGAGCUGAGCAUCUGUACACCCAGGGUGUACAUCCUCACAGGCAUGAGUGAAUGGUGUGUGCGCCCUGCGAUGGAUUGGCCCUAUCUUUUUGGACUGUAGGAGAAAACCACAGUUUUUUUCCCCACGCAGACAUGGGGAGAACCUACAAACUUCACACCACAAGGCCCAGGCUGGGAUUCAAACCCAGAGCCUUCUGGCUGUGAGAGAGUAAAGUGCAAGAGCCGUGCAGAGAGAGAAACUUUGAGCAGGAGUGGAGCUUCAGUCUGAGGAGAGAUGGAGAACCUGCAGGUGUGGAGCAGUCUGCAGACGUGGAAAAGGUCAAGCCUGAACCAGUUCUUAUCAAGGAGGAGAGACUGGAAGAGGGCUUGUGUUACAGAGACCCACUGCCCACACCUGGAGCAGAGGAACAGGUAACACAGCCCACACCUGUAGAAGAUGGGAAGAAACUGGACACAGAGACCACGCCUGCAGGAGACCCAGAGGAGCCGAGUGAGCAGCACAGGUGUGAACACGGUGAUGAGGAGCUCAGUGGACUGGAGUUUGUGGUGAAGGCAGAGCAAGAGGAAGAGCAUGUAGCCCAGAGACUCAAUCAGACAGGAUGUCAACACAGUGCAGGAAGACUCAACAAUCUGGGCUCUGAGUGUGUAAUGUAUGAGAGAGACAGUCAGCUGUGGACUUCCUUUACACAAGAGGACAGUGACAUAGAGACUGAUGAUCCAGUUUGUUUUAAUGCUACAGAACAGUGCUUACAGGAUCUGUCAAUACACACACAGCUACAACAUGCUCCUGCCACCAUGGAAGUCUCUGGAAACACACUGUCCUCUUUUGGGCCUUCAUAUGUUGAGGAGUUUGAUAAGAUGAGUGAGAAGCCAUCUGUUUGCAGCGAGGAGCUCAGAUCAGAGGCCAUUCACACACAGCAGGGUCAGUACAGAGAGAGACUUGUGCACACAGUGGAGAGAGAGAAUCAGACAUUACUGCCCCAGCAGCAGCACCAUGGACCCUCAGUAAAACACAUGAGAGGCAGCGAGAGCCCAGCCCAGCCACUCUCAGGCUCUCAAUAUGAGACCCGCUCUACUCUGAGUACCAGUGCUUUCAGUGCUGGGAAGAAGGAUGAGACUCAUGGACAAGCUAACUGUGCAAAGAACCCGUUCAUUUGCGUAUAUUGUGGGAUGAGUUUUGAUCACGGUAGUCAUCUCAUGGCACAUCACCACAUUCACAUGGGGGAGAAACCAUUCAGCUGUACACAGUGUGGGAAGCGUUUCAGUCACAAACGUAAUCUUGUACAACAUGAGAGGGUUCACGGGAAUAAGCCAUUUGGUUGUGCGCAGUGUGGGAAGAGAUUUGUUCGCGGAGCUAACUUUCGAGCACACCAGAGGAGUCAUACGGGAGAGAAACCGUAUCAGUGCACCCAGUGCGGGAAGAGAUUUGCUUGGGAUGCUAACCUUAGAGCACACCACAGAAGUCAUCAGGGAGAGAGACCACAUGGCUGUACCCAGUGUGGGAAGAGUUUUGUUCGCAAGCGUAGUCUUAUUUCUCACCAGAGGAUUCACACGCGGAGUGUAGUGUAAUGGGUACGGAGUUGGUCUUGUAACCUAAAGGUCUCAGGUUAGAUUCCCCGGUAGGACAGUGCCAGUGUCAGCAGUAUAUAUAGUGUCCGUGUCAGGCCUUGUGCCUCAUUGUAUAUAUCCAGCUGUUUAAAUGGGUGCUUUGUAAAAGUAUCUCUGGAUAAGAGAAGGAAAACCAUACUGCUAUAACUGGUGUAAGAAUUAUUUUUCCCAUGACGUGCAGGAACUGCCGCCGUGGGCUAUGCAUGGCAAAUUGUGGUCACUCACUCACUCACUCACGGAUUACCUUUGAGGGACGUUUUGUGGGACGCAUGCACAGCUGGUGGCAGCUAAAAUGUGUCUGCGGAAGUGAGUUGUGCCAUGGGUCUGGGCAGUUCUGUGCUUGUUAUGUAAAGGACCUUCAAACUCAUCUGAUUUCACUGUUGAAAUAAACUGCAUUGAUUGAAAUGGUAUGCCUUAAUAAUUUUGAUAUUAGCUCUUUGUGCUGAAGUUUGAGUUAGAAAAAAAAUUGUGCUCACAAUAUUCAUGAAGACACAUGAUUAUAUAUCAAGCAUCAGUGUAUCCAUCAGAUGACUUCAAUGAAAUAAAAAGUUUUUAAUUAAAA